RNAcentral lists this ribosomal RNA (718 nucleotides) under Staphylococcus aureus. Its description in RNAcentral is "bacterial SSU rRNA". It matches the Rfam family "Bacterial small subunit ribosomal RNA", at positions 233 to 942 of the family's 1533-position model. Lineage: Bacteria; Bacillati; Bacillota; Bacilli; Caryophanales; Staphylococcaceae. The record is from RNAcentral.
GCGCUGCAUUAGCUAGUUGGUAAGGUAACGGCUUACCAAGGCAACGAUGCAUAGCCGACCUGAGAGGGUGAUCGGCCACACUGGAACUGAGACACGGUCCAGACUCCUACGGGAGGCAGCAGUAGGGAAUCUUCCGCAAUGGGCGAAAGCCUGACGGAGCAACGCCGCGUGAGUGAUGAAGGUCUUCGGAUCGUAAAACUCUGUUAUUAGGGAAGAACAUAUGUGUAAGUAACUGUGCACAUCUUGACGGUACCUAAUCAGAAAGCCACGGCUAACUACGUGCCAGCAGCCGCGGUAAUACGUAGGUGGCAAGCGUUAUCCGGAAUUAUUGGGCGUAAAGCGCGCGUAGGCGGUUUUUUAAGUCUGAUGUGAAAGCCCACGGCUCAACCGUGGAGGGUCAUUGGAAACUGGAAAACUUGAGUGCAGAAGAGGAAAGUGGAAUUCCAUGUGUAGCGGUGAAAUGCGCAGAGAUAUGGAGGAACACCAGUGGCGAAGGCGACUUUCUGGUCUGUAACUGACGCUGAUGUGCGAAAGCGUGGGGAUCAAACAGGAUUAGAUACCCUGGUAGUCCACGCCGUAAACGAUGAGUGCUAAGUGUUAGGGGGUUUCCGCCCCUUAGUGCUGCAGCUAACGCAUUAAGCACUCCGCCUGGGGAGUACGACCGCAAGGUUGAAACUCAAAGGAAUUGACGGGGACCCGCACAAGCGGUGGAGCAUGU